UACGGGGGGAGCAAGCGUUGUUCGGAUUUACUGGGCGUAAAGGGCGCGUAGGCGGUCAGCACAAGUCAGUUGUGAAAUCUCCGGGCUUAACCCGGAAAGGUCAACUGAUACUGUGCGACUAGAGUGCGGAAGGGGCAACUGGAAUUCUCGGUAUAGCGGUGAAAUGCGUAGAUAUCGAGAGGAACACCUGCGGCGAAGGCGGGUUGCUGGGCCGACACUGACGCUGAUGCGCGAAAGCCAGGGGAGCGAACGGG
Molecule: ribosomal RNA, 254 nt
Filed under: uncultured bacterium
Lineage: Bacteria
Description: partial 16S ribosomal RNA
Rfam family: Bacterial small subunit ribosomal RNA
Source: RNAcentral